UACGUAGGGCGCAAGCGUUGUCCGGAAUUAUUGGGCGUAAAGAGCUCGUAGGCGGUUCGUCGCGUCGGCUGUGAAAACCCGGAGCUCAACUCCGGGCCUGCAGUCGAUACGGGCGGACUUGAGUUCGGCAGGGGAGACUGGAAUUCCUGGUGUAGCGGUGAAAUGCGCAGAUAUCAGGAGGAACACCGGUGGCGAAGGCGGGUCUCUGGGCCGAUACUGACGCUGAGGAGCGAAAGCGUGGGGAGCGAACAGG
This 253-nucleotide ribosomal RNA is filed under the name uncultured bacterium. RNAcentral describes it as "partial 16S ribosomal RNA". It matches the Rfam family "Bacterial small subunit ribosomal RNA", at positions 524 to 776 of the family's 1533-position model. The record is from RNAcentral.